Molecule: ribosomal RNA, 860 nt
Filed under: uncultured bacterium
Lineage: Bacteria
Description: bacterial SSU rRNA
Rfam family: Bacterial small subunit ribosomal RNA
Source: RNAcentral
AGAGUUUGAUCCUGGCUCAGGACGAACGCUGGCGGCGUGCUUAACACAUCAAGUCGAACGGGGUCCUGGUUGGUGGCAACACCUUCCAGUACCUAGUGGCGAACGGGUGAGGAACACGUGAGCAACCCACCCCGGACUCUGGGAUAACAGCGGGAAACCGCUGCUAAUACCGGAUACCUUCCUCUGGUCGCAUGGCCAGGCGAAGAAAGGGUUACUGGUUCGGGACGGGCUCGCGGCCUAUCAGCUAGUUGGUGGGGUAACGGCCUACCAAAGCGUCGACGGGUAGCUGGUCUGAGAGGAUGAUCAGCCACACUGGGACUGAGACACGGCCCAGACUCCUACGGGAGGCAGCAGUGGGGAAUCUUGCGCAAUGGGCGAAAGCCUGACGCAGCAACGCCGCGUGCGGGAUGACGGCCCUCGGGUUGUAAACCGCUUUCAGCAGGAACGAAUCUGACGGUACCUGCAGAAGAAGGUCCGGCCAACUACGUGCCAGCAGCCGCGGUAACACGUAGGGACCAAGCGUUGUCCGGAUUUAUUGGGCGUAAAGAGCUCGUAGGCGGUUCGGUAAGUCGGGUGUGAAAACUCUGGGCUCAACUCAGAGAGGCCACCCGAUACUGCCGUGACUUGAGUCCGGUAGGGGAGCACGGAAUUCCUGGUGUAGCGGUGAAAUGCGCAGAUAUCAGGAGGAACACCGGUGGCGAAGGCGGUGCUCUGGGCCGGUACUGACGCUGAGGAGCGAAAGCGUGGGGUAGCAAACAGGAUUAGAUACCCUGGUAGUCCACGCCGUAAACGUUGGGCACUAGGUGUGGGACCCCGCCAACGGGUUCUGUGCCGCAGCUAACGCAUUAAGUGCCCCGCCU